AGGUUAUGAUGUUUUAAACCUAUUCCAUUUCUGAACCAGAAGUGAAGAAAUAAAGCUGCUGAACUU
Small nucleolar RNA from Protopterus annectens (West African lungfish), 66 nucleotides. RefSeq annotates it as small nucleolar RNA SNORD98. The record is from RefSeq and is a predicted model, not a curated record. The transcript has a single exon. Lineage: Eukaryota; Metazoa; Chordata; Ceratodontiformes; Protopteridae.